This 373-nucleotide ribosomal RNA is filed under the name uncultured eukaryote. RNAcentral describes it as "partial 18S ribosomal RNA". It matches the Rfam family "Eukaryotic small subunit ribosomal RNA", at positions 592 to 976 of the family's 1831-position model. The record is from RNAcentral.
CAAUAGCGUAUAUUAAAGUUGUUGCAGUUAAAAAGCUCGUAGUUGAAUUUUUGCUUGCCGCCGAUGUCGGAACUUCCGUACGUUCGGCGGCGUGCAUCCUUGGGUGGAACCUGUGUGGCAUUAGGUUGUCGUGCAGGGGAUGCUCAUCGUUUACUGUGAAAAAAUUAGAGUGUUCAAAGCAGGCUUAUGCCGUUGAAUAUAUUAGCAUGGAAUAAUAAGAUAGGACCUUGGUACUAUUUUGUUGGUUUGCGCACCGAGGUAAUGAUUAACAGGGACAGUUGGGGGUAUUCGUAUUCCAUUGUCAGAGGUGAAAUUCUUGGAUUUCUGGAAGACGGACUACUGCGAAAGCAUUUACCAAGGAUGUUUUCAUUAA